This 10315-nucleotide long non-coding RNA is filed under the name Homo sapiens (human). RNAcentral's name for it is "HSALNT0318278". The record is from RNAcentral. Lineage: Eukaryota; Metazoa; Chordata; Mammalia; Primates; Hominidae.
GCACAAUAGAAUGAGACAGUGCAUGUGAUGCCAGACAGGAAGAGGCAGAGGAGCUUUCCCCAUGGCCACCACCAUCACAGGUGCACAAGGAUUACCGUCGGGCUACCUCUGGUGUUCACUUCAGGCCCAAGGACUCUUCAGCUUGUGAUUACAAUGACCUCUCAAACAUCCAAAAACUACUGCAAAUCAAUUGAAAUGGUUGCAUUAUCAAUCAACUAUUAAUCAGACCAAAGAACCCAGCUGAGACUUCCACAGUGAGUUGAACGCUACCAGGUCGUACUUUACUUACAGGGAAGGAGAAUACAGCUCAGAAAAGAGAGAGUAAUCAAAGGGGGAGCAUGAAAACAAACAAAGGAAGCAGUCUGCACUCAAUCACAGCGAUGUGAUUGGAAGGGUGAUAAGGGAUAAAGGGCCACAAACUCACUGUCACAAUUGCCAUUAUGUGACAUCACUGAUCAUAGUUAGCUUUAGUUAAGCUAUGUCUCUUUGGCUCAAGAAUAAAGAGCAUGCACUGCAAAUAAUAAAUAAUUCCUGUAAAUUUACUUUUAAUUUACAUGCAAUAAAGUGUCCUCCUCCUUUUCUUCUUCUUCUCUUCUUCUUCUUCUUCCUCUUCUUCUCCUUCUUCUUCUUCUUCUUCCCUUCUUCUUCUUCUUCUUCUUCUUCUUCUUCUUCUUCUUCUUCUUCUUCUUCUUCUUCUUCUUCUCCUUCUCCUUCUUCUCCUUCUUUCUCCUUCUCCUCCUCCUCCUCCUUCUCUUUCUUUUUGUCUUUCUUCUUCCUUCUUCUUCUUGAGGCAGGGUCUUACUUUGUCACUGGGGCUGGAAUACAAUGGCGUGUUCUCAACUCACUGCAACCUCCACUUCCUGGGCUCAACCAAUUCUCCCACCCCAGUAGCUGGGACUAACAGGUGCAUGCCUUUAUGCCUGGCUAAUUUUGCAUUUUUUUGUAGAGACAGCAUUUCCCCAUGUUGCCCAGGCUGGUCUUGAACUCCUAUGCUCUAGCAAUCCUCCAUCCUCAGCCUCUCUAAGUGCUGGGAUUACAGGCGUGAGCCACCGUGCCCAGCCUCCUUCUUCUGAUACACAGUUUUUGUUCAUUUGUUUGAAAUAGAAGCUUGCUCUGUUGCUCAAGCUGGAGUGCAGUGGCACAAUCAUGGCUCAAUGUAGUCUCACACUCCUGGGUUCAAGUGAUUCUCUUGACUUAGCCUCUCAUGUAGCUUGGACUACAGGCAUAUGCCAAUCAUAAUUAGCCAUGCCUGGCUAAUUUUUUGUUUGUUUGUUUGUUUGUAUUUUAGUAGCUAUGAGGUCUUGUUAUGUUGCAUAAGAUGAUUUCCAACUGGGUUUAAGGGAUCCUCCCACGUCAGUCUCCCAAAGUGCUGGGAUUACAGGCAUGAGCCACUGCACCCAGACUGAUAUACAGUUUUAUGAGAUUUGGCAAAUGGCUAGAGUCAUGUAGCUACUUUCCCAAUCAGACUACAGUGUAACUCCAGUGAUACACAACAAAGACUAUUUCUUUAUAUUCAAAUACUCCACCUCCACCUAUCCUGAACCUCUGGCAACCACUGUCAGCUCUUCAUCCCCAUAGCGUUAUCUUUUCCAGAAUGUCAUACAAAUGUGUAGCUGUAUUCAUUUAGUAUAAUGGAUAAUGUAUUGUGGAUUCAUCCAUGUUUUUAUAUAUCUCUGUAAUUUGUUCUUUUUUAUAGUCCUAUAGCAUUGUAUUAUAUGGAUAUACCAGUAUUUGUCCAUGCAUUAGUUAAAGAACAUUUGGGGUAUUUUCAGGUUUUGGUGACUACCGAUGAAACUGCUCUAAACAUUUACGAGCUUUUCUAUGACAUAAAUUCACUUCACUUGAAUAAAUACCUGUGAGUAGGAUUGUUGAAUCAUAUGAUGAGUAUGAGUUUACAUUUAUAAGAAAUUGCCAAACUACAUUAUUAAAAAGUCAAGUGUUGAGCACGGUGGCUUAUGCCUAUAAUCCCAGCACUUUGGGAGGCCGAGCUGGAUGGAUCAUCUGAGGUCAGGAGUUCGAGACCAGCCCGGCCAAGGUGGUGAAACCCAUCUCUACUAAAAAUACAAAAAUUAGCUACUUGGGAGGCUGAGGCAGGAGAAUCACUUGAACACAGGAGGCAGAGCUUACAGUGAGCCAAGAUCAUGCCACUGUACUCUAGCCUGGGUGACAGAGUAAGACUCUGUCUCAAAAAAAAAGGUCAAAAAAUAACAGAUGCUGGCAAGGUUAUGCAGAAAAGCAAACACAUAUACACAGUUGGUGGGAGUAUAAAUUUUCUCAACCAUUGUGGAAAGCAGUGUGAUAAUUCCUCAAAGAGCUAAAAACAGAAGUAACAUUCCACCCAGCAAUCCCAUUACUGGGUAUAUACCCAAAGGAAUAUAAAUCAUUUUAUUAAAAAGAACACACAUAUGUUCAUUGCAGCACUAUUCACAAUAGCAACAUGGAAUCAACCUACAUACUCAUCAAUGGUAGACUGGAUUAAAAAAUGUGAUAUAUAUGUGAUAUAUAUAUAUAUACACGCACCAUGGAAUACUAUGCAGUCAUAAAGAAAGUCAUAAAGAAAGAAUGAGAUCAUGUCCUUUGCAGGAACACGGAUGGAGCUAGAGGCUAUUAUCUUUAGCAAACAAAUGCAGGAAUAGAGAGCCAAAUGCGAUAUGUUCUCACUUCUAAGUGGGAGUUAAAUGAUGAGAACACAUGGACACAAAGAGGGGAACAACAGACACUGGGUUCUACUUGAGGGUGGAGGGUAGGAGGAGGGAGAGGAUCAGAUAAAAUGACUACUGUGUACUAGGCUUAGUACCUGGGUGAUGAAAUAAUCUGCACAAGAAACUCCCAUGAGGUGAGUCUAUCUAUACAAUAAACCUACCCAUGUAAUCCUGAACCUAAAAUAAAAGUUUAAGCAAAAGAAACUGCCAAACUGUUUUUCAAAGUGACUAUACAAUUUUGCAAUUCCAUUUGCAAUGUAUGAGAGUACUAGACCAGUAGAGAGUCUACAACCUCAUCAACUCUUAAUAUUGUUAAGUAUUAUUGUUGUGGUUAUUAUUAUUAUUAUUGCAAUUCUAAUACUUGUGUAGUGUCAUCUUAUUGUUGUUUUAAUUUGCAUUCACCUAAUGACUAAUGAUGUACCUCUUUCCACAUGCUUUUGCCAUCAUGUUUUCUUCAGUGAAAUAUCUGUUUAAACCAUUUUUCUAAUUUUAAAUAAUUUUUCUUUCUGCUGAAUUUGUUAAAUAAUUUCUAAACUUAUGAUUUUUUGGGGGGUGGGGGAUGGAGCCUCGCUCUGUCGCCAGGCUGAAGUGCAGUGGUGUGAUCUCGGUUCACUGCAACCUCCGCCUCCCGGGUUCAUGUGAUUCUCCUGCCUCAGCCUCCCGAGUAGCUGAGAAUACACGCAUGUGCCACCAUGCCCAGCUAAUUUUUGUAUUUUUAGUAGAGACGGGAUUUCACCAUCUUGGCCAGGAUGGCCUUGAUCUCUUGACCUCGUGAUCCGCCCACCUUGGACUCCCAAAGUGCCGGGAUUACAGGAUUGAGCCACUGCGCUCAAUCUGAUGUUUUAUCAAGUAAAAGCUACAGAGUCAGAAUCAUAAUACAUAGAAUUUGAGUGAAUGAUAGCAAUAUGAAGCUAGAUUUUAAGAAGUCGAAAGGCUUACAGUUCUAGAUCACAGCUUCUCAGAGUUUAGUGUGCAAACAAGUCACAUAGGGAUCUUGUUCAAAAUGUGGGUUGUGAUUCAUCAGAUCUGGGUGGAGCCUGAGAAUGUGAGUUCUAAUACAGCCCCAGGUGAUGCCAAUGUUGCUAGUUGAUGCAUCACAUUUUAAGUAACAAGAGACUAAAGGAAUCUGGUUCAAAUUACCUUUUUAGAACCCCAAAGCUGAACAACACUCAGCAUGUAAUUAUGUUUACCUUUAUUUUUGGAAGAAAUAGAAACAUGUAAUUAAUAAAUACAUCAAGAUAGUUGCAGCUCCUUUAAGACACAGUGCAAACAGCUAGAACUUGAAUAGGUAUGUCACAAAGUCCCUGUAACAAAAACCUCUCCAAAAAUUAUGUUGUCAUGUUUAAUUGGUUAAAAAAAAAAAUUCGCUGGUUAUGGUCAAAACUUUCUGUGUCCUUCUCCUGUAAACAUUGGUGUGGGAGUGGAUGAGUGGUGUUCAAAUGGCGUAGGACCUUACUUAAAAACAUCAUAUACAGGGGAUUGGAAAUAAUUUGAGUACUAUAUAAAUGUCGCUUAACAUUGCAUAACAUAUAAAAUAAAGUGACAGUAGAAAAAUCCUUUUAUUUUGCAAGUCUCAUCAGAACCUGGAAUUUUUGUUGCACUUCUAAUUUUAAAAGACAGAGAAUCUGAAGAUUCCAGAGAAGAGAAUCAUCUAUGAUUUUGGCAAUGCAAACACUGGUCUUUAAGAAGGUAAUUUGUAUUUUAAGGAGUAAGCAAUACGAUCCAUUGAGAUUCAGGAAGAAAAUAUUAGAGCUUCUACUUUCACACAUUUUUAAAUUGAAAAAAUAAGAAAAUUAUAUUACACCAAUGUUUACUAUAUCACUUGACACAUGGACCUUCAUUCAGUCUCUAUGUCAUAGACUUACCUUGAAGAGUUUCAUUUUGGAUGUAAGUUUGAAAUAUUUUGGGGACAUCCAAACAAGGAUGUCAAGGAAGCAGCUAGAUAAGUGAUCACAAGGGAGAGAAGGGCAGAUUCAUAAACCAAGAAGGUGUCUGAAUAUAGAAGGAGUGGAUGGGAUGCCUUUGGUGACAAAAGCAAGUGUAACUAGGAGGGGAGUGUAACAUUUAGAGUUUGGGUACAAAAGGAAGAAAUGAACAAGGAGAACUGAGAAGGAGGCAAGGGUCAAGGGUGGCAAGAGAAGCAGGCGGGUUUCCAGGAAAAAAUGAUAGCGUGUCAAGAAAGACGGAUUAACCACAUUAAAUACUGCUGGAGGGUUGAGGAAAAUGAGGGCACAGUAUGCCUACUGGAUUUGAUUACACGAGCACUAUGGUGAACUCAGCAAGAGAGCAGCUAUCUCAGAAGAUUCCGUGAAAACUGGAAGCCGUGGGUCCAUUGUUUAAGCAAGGACAUUUUCUCCUUUGGUUGUUAACAAAAGUUGAUUUUAUUCUGGUGUAAAGAAAUGCAUGCAUCUUGUUUUAGUGUGCUCAAUGUGUGCUCAAUGCAUUUUUGAAGAUCAAAGACAUGCAAAAGGCGACAAACAAAAAUAUUUUUAAGUCAAUCACCAAGACUCCUAUUAUCUAAAAGCAAUCCCUGUAACAGUGCUGUGUCUAACUUCUGUGUUUUCUCACUUGAUAAGUUUUUAUUCUUUUAGCUUAUUCUAUGUAAUUGUGAUUAUAUUUUAUGCAGCAUUUUAUGCACUGGCUUUUUCACUUCACUUUUUAAUAAACAUUUUCCAAGUUUUAAAUGCUUUGUAAGCAUAAUAUACCAUAAAGUGAGCAUACCAUGGAGAUACUCAUCCCAUUUAGGUUGUUUCCAAUUUGAAGGCUGUUAUAAAUAAAGCUGAAAUGAGCAUUUUUCUGUAUAAACUUUUUCCCCAAUUUUUCUAGAUUAUUUUCUUACAGAGGAAUAUCUGCAGGGAAAUCUCUGAGUUAAAUGUUAGAAGGACCCUCAAACUCUAAGGACCUAUUUUAAAUGAACAUCUCUGUGUGCUGUGGAUUGGAAAGAAGAACCCCAAAUCAACGCUAAAGCAAGAUGAUAAACUCUUAGUGGUUUUAAUUCGUUAACUCCCAUGGACACACCUCAUCCCAAUUUCCUUUCUCACAACUUAGAGUCUUACUUUUCCACUUCCUCCUCCAAGUUCAUCUGGAACUUUCCUAAUACUGAACAGAAGAACAUAACUGCCAGUAAAAUGACAGGGAGAAAGGAGAAAAAGAGGCAAAGAGAGAGAAGAGAAAAAGAGGAAAUGGGAGGAGGGGGAGCAAAAAGAGGGAAAGAGAGGAAGACAAGGCCACUUGGUGCAUUCAUUGAUAUGGUUUGGCUGUGUCCCUACCCAAAUCUCACCUUGAAUUGUAAUAAUCCCCACGCAGGGCAUGGCUAAGUGGAGAUAAUUGAAUCAUGGAGUGGUUUCUCCCAUAGUGUUUUCGUGGUAGUGAACAAGUCUCAGGAUAUCUGAUGGUUUUAUAAGGGGCUUUGUCCCAUUUUGUUCAGCACUUCUCUUACCUGCUGCCACGUAAGACAUGACUCUGCUUCUCCUUUGCCUUCUGACGUGAUUGUGAGGCUUCCCCAGCCAUGUAGAACUGUGAGUCCACUGAGCCUCUUUCCUUUAUAAAUUACCCAGUCUCAGAUAUGUCUUUCUUAGCAGCAUGAGAACAGACUAAUACAUUAAUUUUUAAAAAGCCUUUGAGUUUUGUGUAAUUUAUAUUUUUCUCCAAACACUUCCAUUUUUUUAAGGCUGGAGCAUUGUCAUAGAAGACACAUCAAUUUUAAGUUCUUUGACAACCAAGCUUCUUUUUCUAUUAUCUCACCACUUUCUCCCUUUUGAGAAACUCUUCUUAGUGAAGUCUUGGUGAAACGCUCCAGUCUAUCACUUAAAAAGAAAAACCAAGCGCAGCUCUUCCCGCCCUGUCCUUGGUCAACAGGAAGCUGGCACAUGAAUUGGGCUUAUCCAGUUGUCAAUUAAUUCUGGGGUUUGUAUCCUGAAAGAGUGGCCAAAUAAUGCGGAGGCCUCAGCAGCCAGCUCAUGCUUCUGUUGUGACCCCUGCUGCAAUCUUCGAUGAUCAGCUCCCCUGUUGAUUACCCGUUCCUAAGUCUGGUCCUCCUGCUUCUAGUUUCUUCUAUAGAUCCCCGAGAACCCUUCCAAUAAUCUCCCUUUUCACUGAGUCCAUCUUUGUUGCUUGUAAAGAAGGCUCUGUCUGAAUCAAGUAGGCAGAACAGGGCCUCAUUUAGAGGUUUGGACUUUAGAGCAGUGGGAAACCACUGCGUGCGUAAAAACUCUUUCUGCACUCAUUGCCCAGGGGGAAAACAGAGACAUGGAGUAUGAGGGGAGUUAAGGGGGAAAAAAAAGGAAAGAAAAAAGAAAGAGAGAGAGAGAGGGUCACACACGUGGAAUUGCCCGGAAGGGUGGGGAGCAGACAGAAGGCUUCCGAGAGUGGCCGACACAUCGAGAUCAAGAACAUUCAAGGACAUUCUCGCUUUAGCAUCACACUCAGACUCGGGGGACCAGGAAGUGAAGACAAGGACUGAGACACUGUAAAAACUGCAUGUCUGAAAGCAACGGCAAGGGCAAAUGAGGAUGCCAGGAGAGACAUUUUACGCAGCUCCUGAGCGAUUUUGCAGGGCUUCAUGUAGCUCACUUCAGGGGAACAGAAAGAAUGAAGUUUGGUAAUAAUUUGCCCUUCUGACAGCCUCUGACCCCACAAUACUCAUCUCCAAUAUAUUCGACACAAAAAGGCCACCCCAGCAUAGAGCUAUCUCUCCUUCUCACCUUCUGGAAGAGAGUUUCCUAAACUUUACUGAUAAGAGUCACUUGCAACUCCGGUUAAAAAUUUAGCUUCCCGGCUGGGCACGGUGGCUCAUGCCUGUAAUCCAGCACUUUGGGAGGCCGAGGAGGGUAGAUCAUGAGGUCAGGAGUUCAAGACCAGCCUGGCCAAGAUGGUGAAAACCCAUCUCUACUAAAAAUACAAAAAUUAGCCAGGCGUGGUGGUGGGCGCCUGUAAUCCCAGCUACUCAGGAGGCUGAGGCAGGAGAAUUGCAUGAACCCAGGAGGCGGAGCUUGCAGUGAGCCGAGAUCGCACUACUGCACUCCAGCCUGGGCGACAGAGCGAGACUCCGUCUCAAAAAAAAAAAAAAAAAAAAAAAAAAACAGCUUCCUAGGUUUUGCCCCUGGACAUUCCUAUACAGAGGGUCAGGGUGGGAUCUGAGAAAUUUUUUUUAACCAGUUCUACCACAUAAUUCUUGUCAUCAUAAAAGUGUGGAAAACACUACCGUAUAAUUAGUUACUUGGUGCAGGUAUGUAAUAGACACCUAGCAGUGUCUAUCGGGUGUCUAUUGGAGCAGGGGCUAGAGGAGAGGAUUGUUAUAGAGUAAAAAUGAUGCUUUCCCUGCUGUGGGAAGGAUUACAGUCUUAAGGGAUGGACAGAACUAUUCAUAACUAAUUUGAAUACAAGCCAAACUAUAAGCAUAGGAGUGAUUGUCCAGUUAAGGGACUAUAGAAGACAGAAGACAGCAUUGAAGGGGUAGAUGGCAAAUUGUGGAGACUUGGUGAGAAAGGAGGCCUUUGACCUAGGGCCUAAAUGGAUUUUGCGCAAAAAUAAAAAUCAAUCCCUUUGAGGCUGGCACUGGAAAGAAAAUACCCUGGAGGAAGGAGCACCAGAUUCUGGAGCUCUGAACUUGUUUCCAGAUCCUCUCUUGCUUCGCCUCCUUCUCUGUUUCCAUUGUCACCAUCCUGCUGGCCUCAGAGGGUAGUAAUCUUCAAACACUCUGGCCCAGACAGAAAAAAGAAAGCCCUUUCAAUGAACUCCCCAUUGUCCAGCUGAGGCUGAGGCAAGGCUGAAAUUAAAAAUAAUGAAAAUCAAUAGGCCCUUUACUAAAUGCUGAAGAGCAGAAACAAGGAAAUAAACAGUCCUAUAAAAUCAAAACAUCUAAGAGGCCCACUCCAUCCACAUGGAACCCCUAAGGAAAGGGAAUUAUUCCUGACUCCUUCUCUUCCUAUGUCCUGAUCGCACUUGACUUGACAGGUACUAUUUUCAUCUUUGUCUAUCAUUUGGACUCCUAAAAGUCUAGACAAGGAGAAGGAGAAUCAUUCUCCUUGAAUGGAGUGUUUCCCCUCCCAGGUCCAGCCUCCUGAGUUAGAACUCACCUCUCCUCCAAGCAACUGAGAGCGACUGACUUUCUUUCUGAGCUUCGGUUUCUUUACGGCUUUUCAAAGAACACCAUGGCUACUUUGUCUGAAAUCAAGUCUGGAUGCUGUCAUUAAUUAACUGCAUAAAUUCUGUCUAGGCAUUUAACCUUUCUGAGUUUCUAUUUUUCUGUAGGUAAAAUUAAAGGUUUGUAUUAGAGCUCAGCUCAGUCCCAUUUCUGAUCUGUCUGUACUUCUAGGGACAUCCAUGGGCAUGACUCAAAUUGUUCAUAGUAUAUGUUUUGCCUCAGCAGUAACACCUUAAAUGAAAUAGCCUGAACCUAAAAGCUCAAGUCUAAGAGGGCUCACAUACCUAAAUUCAAACAUCCCUCUGCUUUUAGAGAGCAAGCCCAGUGUGUGGGAACUGAGCUCUUGGAUUCUCUACUUCUCUAUGUAUAGCAUUUAAAGUACAUUAGGACUGAGGGACUCCAGAAGACCUUUCUCUCUCUGGCAAACUUAGCUGCAUGCAAAAAUAGCAUACUGGUACAAACAGAAAAAGUGAGUCAUCAGCUUCUCCCUCAGGCCCCCAUGUCCAGUGUCUGAACCAUUAGAAAUGAAAAGCAGGAUUCAAACUAGCCUCAUGGCAUCAAGCAGUUCCCCAGGAUCUACAAACCAUAGUACUUACAACUUCCUUUUCAUACAUAAUAUGUGUACAGGGCUUUAGUAUGAUGAUGAUGAUGAUAAUGCUCAAAGAUGAAAAGAACCUGAAUGGAAAUAACAAAAUGGCUUGAGGUGCCUUCCUUGGCGUCCCCCAUAUCUAUUCUUUUGCUGAAGUUCACAUUACCCAAUACAGGUUUUUUUUUUUUUUUAUCAUUAAAGGAGCGUAGAGCAUUAGAAUCUUCUUUAACAGGAGAUCUAUAAGAGCUAGACCUAGAAAAUAUAGACAAAAAAGAAGCUAGAUUAAAACACUUCCCGUUGAGAGUAUGGAAGUGAUCAAAACUGGGAAACCCUGCUCCAAUGACGAAUCAAAGUUAGAAGGCCUGGUGGGCAGGAAGCAAAUAUUCACAGCUGGGUAUGGAACCAAGAAGUCCAAAAGGAAGGCAAAGAGGAGAACUGGGACAUUGGAGAAGAUGGGUGAGCAGAAAGUUAGUCUGGGGAAAUACUAGAACACAGCUCUACUGGCCAGGCACAGUGGCUCACGCCUGUAAUCCAACACUUUGGGAGGCCGAGGCGGGUGCAUCACCUGAGGUCGGGAGUUUGAGACCAGCCUGAUCAACACGCAGAAACCCCGUCUCUACUAAAAAUAAAAAAUUAGCUGGCUGUGGUGGCGCGUGCCUGUAAUCCCAGCUACUCAGGAGGCUGAGGCAGGAGAAUCACUUGAACCCGGGAGGCGGAGGUUGCAGUGAGCCGAGAUUACUCCAUUGGACUCCAGCCUGGGCAACACGAGUGAAACUCCAUCUCAAAACAAAAAAAAAAAAGGAAAAAUAAAAAAGAAAAAACAGCUCUAUUACUACUACUGCUACUACUACUGAUAAGUGGCCUUUUCACAUUCUCAUG